GUGGGGAAUCUUCCGCAAUGGACGAAAGUCUGACGGAGCAACGCCGCGUGAGUGAAGAAGGUUUUCGGGUCGUAAAGCUCUUUCGUUAGGGACGAACGUGCUCUUUGUGAAUAAUGAGGAGUAAUGACGGUACCUAAAUAAGAAGCCACGGCUAACUACGUGCCAGCAGCCGCGGUAAUACGUAGGUGGCAAGCGUUGUCCGGAAUUAUUGGGCGUAAAGCGCGCGCAGGCGGGAUAUCAAGUCUGUCUUAAAAGUGCGAGGCUCAACCUCGUGAGGGGACAGAAACUGGUAUUCUUGAGUGUCGGAGAGGAAAGUGGAAUUCCAAGUGUAGCGGUGAAAUGCGUAGAGAUUUGGAAGAACACCAGUGGCGAAGGCGACUUUCUGGACGAUGUCUGACGCUGAGGCGCGAAAGCUAGGGGAGCGAACGGGAUUAGAAACCCUAGUAGUCC
Molecule: ribosomal RNA, 450 nt
Filed under: uncultured bacterium
Lineage: Bacteria
Description: partial 16S ribosomal RNA
Rfam family: Bacterial small subunit ribosomal RNA
Source: RNAcentral